CCCGCAACGAGCGCAACCCUUGAUCUUAGUUGCCAGCAUUUAGUUGGGCACUCUAAGGUGACUGCCGGUGACAAACCGGAGGAAGGUGGGGAUGACGUCAAAUCAUCAUGCCCCUUAUGACCUGGGCUACACACGUGCUACAAUGGACAGAACAAAGGGCUGCGAGACCGCAAGGUUUAGCCAAUCCCACAAAUCUGUUCUCAGUUCGGAUCGCAGUCUGCAACUCGACUGCGUGAAGCUGGAAUCGCUAGUAAUCGCGGAUCAGCAUGCCGCGGUGAAUACGUU
This 285-nucleotide ribosomal RNA is filed under the name Bacillus aerophilus. RNAcentral describes it as "partial 16S ribosomal RNA". It matches the Rfam family "Bacterial small subunit ribosomal RNA", at positions 1086 to 1372 of the family's 1533-position model. Lineage: Bacteria; Bacillati; Bacillota; Bacilli; Caryophanales; Bacillaceae. The record is from RNAcentral.